UGGUUUAAUUCGAAGCAACGCGAAGAACCUUACCAGGUCUUGACAUCCCGAUGCUAUUUCUAGAGAUAGAAAGUUACUUCGGUACAUCGGUGACAGGUGGUGCAUGGUUGUCGUCAGCUCGUGUCGUGAGAUGUUGGGUUAAGUCCCGCAACGAGCGCAACCCCUAUUGUUAGUUGCCAUCAUUCAGUUGGGCACUCUAGCGAGACUGCGGUAAUAAACCGGA
This 223-nucleotide ribosomal RNA is filed under the name uncultured bacterium. Its description in RNAcentral is "partial 16S ribosomal RNA". It matches the Rfam family "Bacterial small subunit ribosomal RNA", at positions 942 to 1167 of the family's 1533-position model. The record is from RNAcentral.